GCAAACUUGGUCAUUUAGAGGAAGUAAAAGUCGUAACAAGGUUUCCGUAGGUGAACCUGCGGAAGGAUCAUUACCAAAAUUUUAAGCGGCCCUGGCUCUGUGCUUUGACGCUUUUAACCACCUGUGAACCAACCCAUUUUCGCUUUCGGCAGCAAGGGCGGCCCAACAAAUGUUCUGCCCUGUCAGCCUGCCGUUAGCACGCAGCCUUAAACCUUUUUGCACAUGCUGUGCAACAAUCUGUCUGAAAAUUGGAAUUCUUAAUGAAAUCAAAACUUUCAACAACGGAUCUCUUGGUUCCCGCAUCGAUGAAGAACGCAGC
Molecule: unclassified non-coding RNA, 319 nt
Filed under: uncultured fungus
Lineage: Eukaryota; Fungi
Description: partial contains small subunit ribosomal RNA, internal transcribed spacer 1, and 5.8S ribosomal RNA
Rfam family: Eukaryotic small subunit ribosomal RNA (bases 1-73)
Source: RNAcentral